AUGGAGUCUGAUGAAUCAGAAGAUAAUAUGUUGCUGAUUGAGACUAUGGCCGUGGAGGCUUAUAGUAAAGAAAAAGUUCAAGGUUCUCAAGCAAUGCUGGGUAUUGAUGAUACCAAGCAUAAUGCUGAUGAGAUUCAGGUGGUGGAAUGUGAGGGGGAGGAUCUCUCCAAGCUGGGAAAAUCAGACUAUCUGGUACAAUACCCCACUUCUUCUUCUGAGGAUGUGGGAGAGGUGAUCCCUACACCUCCCCUUGUAUUUGAAGAAGUUAAGAGAUUUAGCCUGAGGAACUUACAAAAUAUGGAAGGAAGAAUGCAAGAGAAGGCUGUGGCCAUUUCCAAAAAGAGAAAUCUGGAAGGUAAUUUAGCAAAUCAUAACUCUUUUGAUGCUUUAUCUAAUCCCGAGCUCAUGAUUCGUGUUGUUAAAAUGGGGUUAGUUUUUCCUGACAAUAAUUUCUCUAAUGUGGAUAUCAUUAGAGAACUUGAAAUCAUAAGGGGGGAAAACUCUAAAAAAGAGGAGGAAAAGAAAAAUAUGAGGAAUGAAGAAGAGGUGAUGUAUAUCACCAAUGGAAAGGGGGAAACAACUCCUCUUAGUACUGAAUGGGGAAAUGGAGAUGAGGACAUGGAAGAACAAUUUACCAUGGUCCGGUCUAGGAAAAAGAAAAGUCCUAAAGUUCAAAUAGCUGUAUUCAGACCCACUACUAGAAGUCAAAAAAACCUUGUUGAGAAAAAACAAGCUGGCAGCCCUGUUCAUAAUACCAGGGCCACCAGAGGGGGGAGAAAAGGGAAAAGAUAUAAAUGA
RNAcentral lists this ribosomal RNA (798 nucleotides) under Triticum aestivum (bread wheat). RNAcentral's name for it is "partial small subunit ribosomal RNA". Lineage: Eukaryota; Viridiplantae; Streptophyta; Magnoliopsida; Poales; Poaceae. The record is from RNAcentral.